Sitodiplosis mosellana (orange wheat blossom midge) is the source of this 641-nucleotide long non-coding RNA. RefSeq lists it as uncharacterized. Lineage: Eukaryota; Metazoa; Arthropoda; Insecta; Diptera; Cecidomyiidae. The transcript is spliced from 3 exons. The record is from RefSeq and is a predicted model, not a curated record.
UCCAUACUUUCUACAUGUUUUAUAACAUUGACUUUUACAUUGUCGUUCAUUGACAAUAAUUAUUCAGAUAUGAAUAAUUUUGACACAUAUGUAUUUUACUUGCCAGUAUGCCACAUAUUAUUAAUGCAUGAAUCCAAUCGUUCAAUUAGCACCCAUAAACUUAUGAAAUAUGGACUGGAACGAUCGGCGGUUUUUUCCCUGAUAUGUGGCGUUUGUUUGGUCUGGCACCGCUUAUCGGCCAUGAUACUCUUACUAUUAUGGGGAGGAGAUGAUCAACUUAUAUAUGCGAACUGCAUAUUAUUCUGGAUUUUCUGCUUAUCAAUAGGUCGCCAGUGGUUUUUGGACAUCGAAAUUAAUCCACAGAAGUAUAAAAAAUACUUCAGAACUGAACGAAAUCGUCGUGCUGUUUCUAAACAAAGGGAUGGUUCCUUAAACUUUGCAAAAAUUGGACAGAAAAUAGCUGGUUGGAUGAGACGUAGUUGUAUUUGUUCGAAUCAAUUAACAAAUAUUUCCAAGAAUAAUGAGAUCGAUUUGAAGCAAUUGGCAUAGGAAAAAUGGGUUGAUCUCGCCAUAAAAACAAAUUUGACCAGGAAAAUUUUGAAAUAAAAGAAUCACGAAGACUUCUUUUUAAAUACAUUAAA